Molecule: ribosomal RNA, 253 nt
Filed under: uncultured bacterium
Lineage: Bacteria
Description: partial 16S ribosomal RNA
Rfam family: Bacterial small subunit ribosomal RNA
Source: RNAcentral
UACAGAGGUCUCAAGCGUUGUCCGGAUUUACUGGGCGUAAAGAGCGCGCAGGCGGUCGUUCAAGUCGCGUGUGAAAGCCCCCGGCUCAACUGGGGAGGGUCACGCGAUACUGAUCGACUGGAAGGCAGGAGAGGGUAGUGGAAUUCCCGGUGUAGUGGUGAAAUGCGUAGAUAUCGUGAGGAAGACCAGUUGCGAAGGCGGAUCUCUGGGCAGUUCCUGACACUGAGGCACGAAGGCCAGGGGAGCAAACGGG